CCUACGGGAGGCAGCAGUGGGGAAUAUUGCACAAUGGGGGAAACCCUGAUGCAGCGACGCCGCGUGAGUGAAGAAGUAAUUCGUUAUGUAAAGCUCUAUCAGCAGGGAAGAAAAUGACGGUACCUGAGUAAGAAGCCCCGGCUAACUACGUGCCAGCAGCCGCGGUAAUAAGUAGGGGGCAAGCGUUAUCCGGAUUUAAUGGGUGUAAAGGGAGCGUAGGCGGCAGUGCAAGUCUGGAGUGAAAGGCGGGGGCUCAACCCCCGGACUGCUCUGGAAACUGUACGGCUGGAGUGCAGGAGAGGUAAGUGGAAUGCCUAGUGUAGCGGUGAAAUGCGUAGAUAUUAGGAGGAACACCAGUGGCGAAGGCGGCUUACUGGACUGUAACUGACGUUGAGGCUCGAAAGCGUGGGGAGCAAACAGGAUUAGAUACCCCUGUAGUC
RNAcentral lists this ribosomal RNA (440 nucleotides) under uncultured bacterium. Its description in RNAcentral is "partial 16S ribosomal RNA". It matches the Rfam family "Bacterial small subunit ribosomal RNA", at positions 338 to 795 of the family's 1533-position model. The record is from RNAcentral.